Molecule: long non-coding RNA, 1097 nt
Filed under: Ananas comosus (pineapple)
Lineage: Eukaryota; Viridiplantae; Streptophyta; Magnoliopsida; Poales; Bromeliaceae
Description: long non-coding RNA (ACOM_LNC009711)
Source: RNAcentral
AAUUCUAGUAGAAACUCGAAAAAAAUUAUACUAUUUAACAAUCGAAGCUAUACUAGUCGCAUUUGGAUGUAUAUAUAUAUAGAAUUAUACUACUAUACUAUCAAUAGUACCAAGCCCUUGGUACUAUUGAGUUUUCGGCCGUUGAAUGAAAGGAUGUGCGGUUAAUAUAAUAGUGGUCCCCUAGGAUUGAGUGGGUGGUUGGUUUAAUAGUAUAAUCUAACGGGUGAAAAUGAUCAAAGGGUAGAUCUAACGGUAGAAAACUCAAUAGUACAAGGGCUUGGUACUAGGGUUUAGGGUUGGUACUAUCGAUAGUAUAGUAGCGAGAUAUAUAUAUAUAUAUAUAUAUAUAUAGUUGAGCUAGAAUACUAUCGGUAGCAAACGGGCUCCAUUGCCACCCAUUUGUUUUUGAUGAUAGAGCCUCCAAAUUGACGAUCGACACCGUUGAAAAUGAUCUAUACCACUUGAAGUAUAUAGAAAUCAAAUUUCAUACUUUUUGAUAUUGUUCUCUUGUUCAUCAAGUGGGCGUAAAAAUGAACGACUGAAAAUGAAUAUCCUCUAAAAAGUGAUGAUAGGAAUUUUGUAAUCAAGAUCGAGAGCAUAUAUGUUGUUCUAAAUAGUUUAAAGAAUUUUCUAACCAAAAUUCAAUUCAUUUGGCUAGCAUUACACCGUUAAACAAGAAAACACCUCAAAUCUACCAUUAAAAUUACAAAUUUUGAAAUCCGUUGAUCAUUAGGUCAAUAAUGUCGAAAAGGUUUGAAAUUUGAUUUCUAGAUACUUCAAGUGGUAUAGAUCAUGUUCAACGGCGCCGAUCGUCGAUUUGGAGGCUCCAUCAUCGAAAACAAAUGGGUGGCAACGGAGCCCGUUUGCUACCGAUGGCAUUCCAGCUCAACUCAUAUAUAUAUAUAUAUAUAUAUAUAUAUAUAUAUAGAGAGAGAGAGAGAGAGAGAGAGAGAGAGAGAGAGAGAGUUGAGCUAGAAUACCCCCAAAAGCACCAAAAGAAGUGCUUUUGAGUUUUUAGCCAUUGGAUAGAGAGAUGUAGGGUUGAGAUGAUGAUGGUAGGUGGUGGUAGGUGGAAUAGUGUUUGAUCUAAAGCCUAA